AUUCACUACCAGAAUGACUGCAGAUGGAGUUACGGUGUUCUGGGAAAGAUGUGUCCAUGGCAUCGCUAUGGGUCAAGAGACGACUCAGAGACAGGACAAGGCCAAGAAGCAGGACUUGGAUGAGAAUGACCCUGCACUUCCAGAUGAAGAGGAAUGAUCACAUUUACGUAUGGGAGAUUCAAUUCUAAUUUUCACUUGUAUGAAACAGAGUGAACUGUGAAGAGAAUGACAUGAUUAAAUUGAUAUACUCCUGGAGUGAUAAAUCUAAUAUCUGGAAAGAUGUUUUCUCCUGUGCUUGCUUUUGAAUUCUAGAAAUUGGAUUUCAGUAUUUUAGCCUUUAAAGAUAAGGGGGCAGGCUUUAUCUGUUUCUUGUCACAAGUAUUUUGUGUUGGCUGUAAAAAGACUUAUAAAAGCAACUGAUCACUGUUUGUAUUGAUUUGUAUGUCACAAGAGAAGCAAGUGCAGUAAACGGCAGCAUCUUUUGACUUUCA
This is a long non-coding RNA of Ornithorhynchus anatinus (platypus), 491 nucleotides long. RefSeq lists it as uncharacterized. Lineage: Eukaryota; Metazoa; Chordata; Mammalia; Monotremata; Ornithorhynchidae. The record is from RefSeq and is a predicted model, not a curated record. The transcript has 2 exons.